This 58-nucleotide transfer RNA is filed under the name Cavia porcellus (domestic guinea pig). It matches the Rfam family "tRNA", at positions 8 to 63 of the family's 71-position model. From Rfam's summary of the family: Transfer RNA (tRNA) molecules are approximately 80 nucleotides in length. Lineage: Eukaryota; Metazoa; Chordata; Mammalia; Rodentia; Caviidae. The record is from Rfam by way of RNAcentral.
UAGCUCAGCGGCAUAAGCGCCUGCCUUGGAAGCAGGCAGUCAUGAGUUCGAUCCCCAU